RNAcentral lists this unclassified non-coding RNA (1178 nucleotides) under Hevea brasiliensis (rubber tree). The record is from RNAcentral. Lineage: Eukaryota; Viridiplantae; Streptophyta; Magnoliopsida; Malpighiales; Euphorbiaceae.
UUUUUAAAUAAAACUCGAGGUGGACUUAUUUAUUCGGCCAACAAAAAAAUAAGUACUAUUAAUCUCCGACUCCAAUCCAUAUGUCCAACGUACAACUAUUUGCUCACGGACUUAAAUACAAAUUCACAUGCCUAAAAGUUAAUCAAAGGUGCUAUAUCAGGGUAGUCUGAUGUAUACAUGAGGAGAAGCAUUACUAGAAACAAAAAGGCUGCAAAGCUAUAAACAAUAGCUCUACAACUUUAAAGCUUAUAACCAGCCUAAAUAGAUUCCAGAAAAGGUAGUAGUAAAGUAAAACUAAACUAAGCACACCGAUUAGUAGUAGUAGUAGUAGUUUGUGCCGGUAUCAUAAACACAGCCACCGUGAUAUGGACUACUAGGCUCAAAUCCAUGAUUCUUAGAACCCUCAUAAAAUUGAGCCCGCUCCCUAUACGAUUUAAAAUUAUUAGUAUUGUAGGCUUGAUGAGCUUCAUUCAUAACAACUGAGAGGGCAACUCCACUGUAACCACGAGCAUCACCAGGGUCCAUGAUAUUGCUGGGAUAAUGGUUCAUCAUGGCUUGUUGAUAUUGACGUCAUCGUGCUUGUGACUCCUUGCAGAGGUACUCACUUCUACGGCUGGCAUGUCGGGAUCGCAAUGCUGCUAGUUGUUCUUGAUACUGAUUAUUUAUUGCAUUUAUCUUCUCUCUAUGUCUGGCAUUUUCUGCAUCCUCAGCAUCAUUUUGUUCCUUGGCUAGUUUUAAAAUGUUAUCAAGGAAUUUCUGCUGAAUUCCUUCAAAAGUCUGCAGCAAAGGUUUAUCUUCAAAGCCAAUUUGCAUUUCUUCACAUGGUCCAAAUCUAGGAUCAUUAAUGCCUUGCAUCUCUAAUGCUAGUGUUGGCUCUGGCCCCGGCCCCAGCCCCUUUCCCUGAAAAUAGGAUCUUGAUGCAUCAACCCCUUGACCUUCACUGAGAAUGUGAGAAGCCAUUGGAUUUGACAUUUUUUAUUCAUCUCUUUCCCAUCUCCAUUGUCCUGCUUUUGAGGUCACAUAAGGAAGCUCUCUCUCAGGAGUGAAGGCCUCUAGUCGUCCUUGGAAAUGAUCAGUAUCAGACCUGUUUUCUAUCCUCUGAGCAGAAAUAUGCUGCAUCUGAGCACUAUAUGAAUUGGCACCAGGAUCAGCAUACUGUACCUGCCGCCUCAUUUUUG